CAACCUAAAGUUGACGCAGCUGUAGUUUCCUUCAGACUGAAGCAACCUGUAGAUUAUCCUCCCGUUUCUUCUGCUAAAAGCUUCUUCUCAAUGGUCAACUGUGCAUUUAAUGGGAAACGUAAGAUGUUACGAAAGACACUACAACAUAUAUGCUCUUCUCUUGAGAUUGAAGAAGCUCUUGCUAGCACUGGUCUUCCAUCCACGGUAUUACUGAUGUAGUUUCUCAUUUAUCUAG
Molecule: unclassified non-coding RNA, 235 nt
Filed under: Hevea brasiliensis (rubber tree)
Lineage: Eukaryota; Viridiplantae; Streptophyta; Magnoliopsida; Malpighiales; Euphorbiaceae
Source: RNAcentral